Molecule: ribosomal RNA, 793 nt
Filed under: uncultured bacterium
Lineage: Bacteria
Description: bacterial SSU rRNA
Rfam family: Bacterial small subunit ribosomal RNA
Source: RNAcentral
AGAGUUUGAUCCUGGCUCAGGAUGAACGCUAGCGGCAGGCUUAAUACAUGCAAGUCGUGGGGCAGCACAGGUAGCAAUACUGGGUGGCGACCGGCAAACGGGUGCGGAACACGUACGCAACCUUCCUUUAAGCGGGGAAUAGCCCAGGGAAACUUGGAUUAAUACCCCAUAAGACAGUGGACUGGCAUCAGUCAGCUGUUAAAGCUCCGGCACUUAAAGAUGGGCGUGCGGCUGAUUAGGUAGUUGGCGGGGUAACGGCCCACCAAGCCGACGAUCAGUAACUGGUGUGAGAGCACGACCAGUCACACGGGCACUGAGACACGGGCCCGACUCCUACGGGAGGCAGCAGUAAGGAAUAUUGGUCAAUGGACGCAAGUCUGAACCAGCCAUGCCGCGUGGAGGAUGAAGGCCCUCUGGGUUGUAAACUUCUUUUAUAGGGGAAGAACUCUAUCCUUUCUAGGGUAGUUGACGGUACCCUGUGAAUAAGCACCGGCUAACUCCGUGCCAGCAGCCGCGGUAAUACGGAGGGUGCAAGCGUUAUCCGGAUUCACUGGGUUUAAAGGGUGCGUAGGUGGGCAGGUAAGUCAGUGGUGAAAUCUCCGGGCUUAACCCGGAAACUGCCGUUGAUACUAUUUGUCUUGAAUAUAGUGGAGGUGAGCGGAAUAUGUCAUGUAGCGGUGAAAUGCUUAGAUAUGACAUAGAACACCAAUUGCGAAGGCAGCUUGCUACACUAUUAUUGACACUGAGGCACGAAAGCGUGGGGAUCAAACAGGAUUAGAUACCCUAGUAGUCC